Molecule: ribosomal RNA, 496 nt
Filed under: uncultured bacterium
Lineage: Bacteria
Description: bacterial SSU rRNA
Rfam family: Bacterial small subunit ribosomal RNA
Source: RNAcentral
AAAGGAAUAGACGGGGGCCCGCACAAGCGGUGGAGCAUGUGGUUUAAUUCGACGCAACGCGCAGAACCUUACCCGGGCUAGAAAAACGUGGAACCCUUAUGAAAGUAGGGGGUGCUCUUCGGAGAACCACGGUCCAGGUGCUGCAUGGCUGUCGUCAGCUCGUGUCGUGAGAUGUUGGGUUAAGUCCCGCAACGAGCGCAACCCUUGUCCUUCGUUGCCAUCAGUUCGGCUGGGCACUCAAAGGAGACUGCCGGGGUCAACCCGGAGGAAGGUGGGGAUGACGUCAAGUCCUCAUGGCCCUUAUGUCCGGGGCUACACACGUGCUACAAUGGUCGGUACAAAGCGCUGCAAACCCGUGAGGGGGAGCCAAUCGCAAAAAGCCGGCCUCAGUACGGAUUGCAGUCUGCAACUCGACUGCAUGAAGGCGGAAUCGCUAGUAAUCGCUGAUCAGCAGGCAGCGGUGAAUACGUUCCCGGGCCUUGUACACACCGCCCGU